RNAcentral lists this ribosomal RNA (308 nucleotides) under uncultured bacterium. Its description in RNAcentral is "partial 16S ribosomal RNA". It matches the Rfam family "Archaeal small subunit ribosomal RNA", at positions 455 to 759 of the family's 1478-position model. The record is from RNAcentral.
GAGACAGCAGCAGCCACGGUAAAACCAGCAGCCCAAGUGGUGGUCGCGAUUAUUGGGCCUAAAGCGCUCGUAGCCGGGCCGGUAAGUCCCUUGUGAAAUCGGACGGCCUAACCGUUCGGCGUGCAAGGGAUACUGUCGGUCUUGAGGCCGGGAGACGUCCGAGGUACUCCGGGGGUAGCGGUGAAAUGUUCUAAUCCUCGGGGGACCACCGGUGGCGAAGGCGUUCGACGAGAACGGGCCUGACGGUGAGGGGCGAAGGCUAGGGGAGCAAACGGGAUUAGAGACCCCGGUAGUCCCUGUCUCUUAUA